Molecule: long non-coding RNA, 1023 nt
Filed under: Anas platyrhynchos platyrhynchos (common mallard)
Lineage: Eukaryota; Metazoa; Chordata; Aves; Anseriformes; Anatidae
Description: lncRNA (ENSAPLG00000019081.1)
Source: RNAcentral
UUCAAAUUGCGAGUUAUGACAGGCAGUAGACAGCUAUGUGUAUGUGUGCAUCUGGAAGUGAAUGUCUGCAUCUGGAAGUGAAUAUCCAGAACUGAAGCUUUGAACUCCCAAACAGAGGCCUACUUCUUGGUAGCUGCAGCUGGCAUUGGCUGUUUGUACAUUUUGAUAAACACUUCAUGUGAAGAAAAAUGACAAGACAUGACAUGACAUGACAUGACAUGACAUGACAUGACAUGAGUCUUCCAAUUAGUAAAGACACAUGACACAAAGCCACCACUUACGAGGCUGAUUCCUUGCUGUGUUUUUGCACAUACACUGUUUAGUCUGGGAAAACCACAAGUUUAACAUCCAAAAAAGAGAUCUUGUUCCAUAAAGAGUUUCCCCAAAAGAAGCGGUCUCCGAAGGAAGAGAGAGUCCUGGAAAGAAGAAAGUGAAGGUCCUGAGGGGAGGAAGGAUCCUGGAAGUAUGAGAAGAUCCUGGAGAACAGAUUUCUGAGUGGAGACAAAUGCUGGGGAUUUCCCAGGGACCCUAGCCAUUAAUGCCCAAGACUGGUUAAGUUUGAACAGAUGUGCAGCAUAAACUGACAUAGUUUUCUGCCUUCCUUAAACUACAUACAAUCUUCCUGUGGGGAAGGAAAGUCAAGACCCAAGAAAGAUGAAGAAUUGUACCCAUUCAGAAAGAGGUUUACUUCUAUAGAUUUUAUUUCUAUAGAUACAGAUAUGAGCUACAACCGUGAACAAUGAUUUAAGGACAGCUAAGCAGAAUGAAAAAAUCUUUAUGGAGCAAAAAACUGAGAGAAAUUAAUUUCUUGGCAACAUAAGAUUAUCAUGACUAAUUUCACCUCUGUUCAUGAUCUGAUGUAAAGCAGGGAAUGAGAUCAUACAAUUCUCUGAAUGCCAAUCAUAUGAUUUGAACUCAGUUCAAAAGUGGCUCUGCUGAAAGCAUUUAAGGACUAGUAGCUUAGUUCAUGAGAACAAAAUCUAAUAAGAAUGAAGAUAUUACACUAAAGAACUGGUUUUGUCA